RNAcentral lists this long non-coding RNA (1508 nucleotides) under Zea mays. Its description in RNAcentral is "long non-coding RNA (ZMAY_LNC004112)". Lineage: Eukaryota; Viridiplantae; Streptophyta; Magnoliopsida; Poales; Poaceae. The record is from RNAcentral.
UAAAUAAUUACAUCAUAUAAGGAAACGAUCCAGCAACCCAAAGUUGACUGGGAGACGACGGCCUAGACCUCUCACGAACUCAUCGCAACAUCCUCCAUGAGCAUCAUCCUGCAGUACCUGGUCUUGACCUGAGGUGUAUGUGAGACAGCAAGAGUGAGCUCACAUACGUUCAUCGCUCAACAAGUUGUGGGGAAUAAUGUGCAUGAACUCGCCAAAGGUGGGAGCUCACGUGAAGUGUAAGGCUUACCAAAGAAAAUGGUUAGAGCUGAGCAUUGCUUUUAAAGUUGGUCAAAAUUUUAUUAGCAGUUACUAAGUAUAAGUGAAUAUCAAUCCCAAUUAAGUAGUAGAACAAAAAUAACAACUUCACCCGCGAUGCAAUGCAUAUGACAAAUUGAAUUUAGUUCCAUAAUUUAAUCAUCAGAGAGUCCUGAGCUGCUCAUGACCGUGAGCUCGGCUAGUAUACCAGUUUUACACUCUGCAGAGGUGGUACCCUUUACCCACAAGUCAUGUUACCCAUCUGCCAAGAGAUCGCGACUUCCCAUACACCUCUACCGAGGAGGCGAGGCAGGGUAACACUACGAGGCCUUUACAAAGUUCCACUAGCUUCAGAAAACCCGCUACAGUUUAUAGGAAGCUCCAAUGCAGGAAUCCCUUGCAGGACCGCCAUCACAGCAAAAUCCUCCCGAGGGCCUCCCCAGGAAUCCCUUGCAGGACCGCCAUCACAGCAAAAUCCUCCCGAGGGCCUUCCCAGGAAUCCCUUGCAGGACCGCCAUCACAGCAAAAUCCUCCCGAGGGCCUCCCUACACUGACCACUCCCCUACUGCCCUUGCCCCUUUCGGGUAAGGUAGUCCUCCACUAGCUUUCCUAAUUAGUCAGCCAAGGGCGUCCCAUUAAACCCUUGUGGUGGCACGUGGUUCUCAAGUUAAGCUCUAUGUUCCAAUUAACAUUUAAUGAUCUUGUCAUGAACAUAAAUAGAAUAACAACAUAAUUGGAACAUAGAUGCAAUGAAAUAUUAACCCAAAACCAUAUAAAGCAGUAGCAGAACUACCCAAGUGAUUGAGGGGUAAACAAGGUAUUCAGGAUGAACAAACUAGGGUGACCUAUUGGGUCCCAUCAAAAUUAACCUAUGCAGAUCAUUAUGAUUAAUCAGAACAUGAGUGGGUAAAAGAAGUGAUCAAGGGCACAACUUGCCUGAGACUUGAGAUUCCAGGUACCAGGAUGAUCUUCAGGUGACUCGUGACCUCGCGCUAGUCGUAGCAAUACAGACAAACAUGGUACAUGCAAAAUUAACAUAACACCAAACAUAAGAACAAACUGAAUAAUAAUGACCUACGCGUUGCUACGAGACUAACGCAGCUGGAACGAGUCAAAUCGGAUUUAAAACGGGGGAAUUAUGUAUUUUGCACAAUAUUAAGUAGGAUAUAAAUUUUAAUGUGACUUUCAUGUGAAAACAGUGACACUAGGUGAUAAACAACAUUAUUACAAAAUUAUAGGAAUUAGAAUGGAUC